CAAUAGCGUAUAUUAAAGUUGUUGCAGUUAAAAAAGCUCGUAGUUGGAUUUCUACCGAAGAUAGCCGGUCGGGUCUUCGACCUUGUAUCUGGUUUUGUCUUUGGUAUCCUCAUAGGGAACGUUUCUGCGCUUUAUUGCGUGGUGCGGUAUCUAUGACUUUUACUUUGAGGAAAUUAGAGUGUUCACGGCAGGCAAACGCCUUGAAUAUAUUAGCAUGGAAUAAUAACAUAGGAUCUUCGUCCUAUUUUGUUGGUUUCUAGGGCUAAGAUAAUGAUUAAUAGGGAUAAUUGGGGGCAUCUGUAUCAACGCGUCAGAGGUGGAAUUCUUGGAUUGCGUUGCGACAAACUACUGCGAAAGCAUUUGCCAAGGAUGUUUUCAUUGA
Molecule: ribosomal RNA, 382 nt
Filed under: uncultured eukaryote
Lineage: Eukaryota
Description: partial 18S ribosomal RNA
Rfam family: Eukaryotic small subunit ribosomal RNA
Source: RNAcentral